Aethalodelphis obliquidens (Pacific white-sided dolphin) is the source of this 1534-nucleotide long non-coding RNA. RefSeq lists it as uncharacterized. NCBI's taxonomy places the organism in Eukaryota, Metazoa, Chordata, Mammalia, Artiodactyla, Delphinidae. The transcript has 5 exons. The record is from RefSeq and is a predicted model, not a curated record.
GGAAUGUGAGUGUUCCCAGUACAAUUCUCUCCACCCCCGCACCCCACCCCCAGUAAAUGUGAAAUUUUUCAUCAUCAAGCGUUGGGGAGAGGGGUGGGGAAUGCUACCUAGGGGUUCCUCUUUGUCCUUCCCCUCAGCCCCGGCCUUCCCGCUACUCCUCAGAAUACUUCGGGCCUCACAGAAAUACUUUCAAAUCAAACUUAAAGCCUCGAGGAAAAAGAAACGUAAAGGGAAAAAAAUAACCUAAGAGGAAAAAAAAAAACCCGAAAACUCUAAGAGAACUAACGACGCUCAAGCGCCGUUUUUCUCCGUAUGCCUCCCAUCUGGACAGCCCUCACCUCAGAGGGUCGACACCUCCCAGUGAGAGGGACUCAACGGCCUUUUCCGGCUCAAACUCUCCCUCGGGCUUAAGAAUAAGCAACGAGACCUUCCUGGGCGGGGCGAGACGCGUCAUGAAUAAUUCAUUACUUCUGCUCGCCUGAUCGGCCCGCCUCGCUCGGUCUCAUGAAUAUGCAAAAAGAGGCGAGCGACGGCUAACGCGCCCCCAGCAAGCCCCGCCCUCCACGCCUGGCCUCCUGGCGCCCGUGAGGAGGUGGUUCCCUGCUCACCUGCCGUCAGGCCUCCGGCUCCAAGGCUCUCCUCCGGCGUUUCCCGCCCUUCCGAGGGUUCGCCGGGCGCUCCCGGGCCUGAGGGACCCGCACCGAGCUCGAGGCGCCGCACACGGACCCCGACGGGGCCUUCGGCUCGGGGCUGCUCCGCCUGGGCAACCCUUACGUCGAGGACAGCCUGCUGCCAGCCUCCCUGAGGAGACGCCUGCCCGCCGAGGUGUUUACUAAAGUGAGCAAGGAUCUUCUGCAGCUGUUUGGAGCCUGAGUGGCAGAUGACACCAACUAACUGGGGACAAGUAUGAGUUACACUCCAAAGGCUGCUGCAGCAGGAUGCCCAGACAGCACGUAGACCACCUCCACACCUGCAGAGCUGAGAGGAUCUCAGCUGAGCAGGUACAGGUAAGAAGAGAAGUUCUCUUGCCUUGGAGCAGUACAGCUGCCUGGGAAACAAGAAGGGUUCCUGCUGCUUCCAGCUCUGGACGACGUGUGAAAGCAGGGAAGCAGGUGUGGAAGGAGGGCAGAGACUGAACCUCAGGAACACCAAUACCAACAUAGGCACAGGGAAAGGAUGAUCUGGCGCAGCCUCUAAGGCCAACUGCAGAGGCAGAAGAGCCAGCAGAAAGGAAACCCACUGCUGGAUUAAGGAUCACUUAAGCACAGAAGACAGAAUACUGAAUACCCUUUGGCAACAAAAUACCACUGCAAAAGGAAAAGGCUAGACAAGGAGCAAUGGAAAGACAGAACUAAAACAAACAAAAGACUUCAUCUUCUGGAAUGCAGUGAGUACUUCACAACUCUGUUUCUGAAAAGCAUGAGUCAGCAACAACUGUGGUUACAGAGAAACAUUACCUAAAUCUACUUCUGGAUGUGUACAUUUAUUUAACAUACCUUCUGGAAUUCAGCUUAAAGGCCUGACAUGUAUUUGA